This 32655-nucleotide long non-coding RNA is filed under the name Sorghum bicolor (sorghum). RNAcentral describes it as "long non-coding RNA (SBIC_LNC010283)". Lineage: Eukaryota; Viridiplantae; Streptophyta; Magnoliopsida; Poales; Poaceae. The record is from RNAcentral.
UCUAGUCAAGCGCCAUGUCUCUUGUUCUUUGAUUAACUAUAGCUCUGGAGUUUUUGCAGAUUUUCAAAUAAAACUCAGAGAUUCCUUGUGUUGACACCGUUUUUGGACACGUAUCUUUGGCCGCGUAUCUGGAGUUAAUGAGGUGUAGAUCGACAGACAGAAAAGUGGUGACUAGUCUACAGAAGAGUUGCCGAUGAGGGUUGGUGCCGAUGAGAAAACGACAGGAUAUGGCCAAGUCCAGGAGUGGUGAUGGGUUCGUGCCGAUGACUGGUGCUGAUGGUUGCCGAUGGCUAUGAGAGGUGGUUUGCUGAUGGUCAUGGAGAAGGGCGCAGGGGUUGUCGAUCGACUCAUGGCGGUGUACCGAUCGGUUGUGGAAGAUGAUUUAAUGCUUUCCAUAGUUAUUAGAGUUUGUUUUGUAUAUGGAUUCUAUUUAAUUUAGAAUUCGAGUCCUGGUCAUGUCUGAUUGUAACCCUUUUGGGUAGGGUAUAAAUAUAAGACCCUGUAGCGAUGUAAUAGACGACAAUCAAUCAAACACAAGUUUUUACAUCUAUUCCAACAUCUACUUUUUCGACGACUUCGUCAAUUUGCAUAUUUUCCUUUUACUACGAGUUCUUUGGAAUUCUUCGAGUCAACCUCGGCGAGUUCUCGGGUUCUGCAUGAAUACCUCUUGGCCGUGACAUCCGGGCGCAUUGCUGUGGUCGGGACCAAAGUAUUCGAGUUAUCACCUUUGUGUUGACGGUCCUUAAGUACUAAAAUUAACCAUCAACUAAACAUGGAAAAGGAUCAAUAUGCACCAAACAUCUAGAAUUAGGGUCUUAUCUGACUGAAUUCCAUGAGCUUUGGUGUUUAUCUAUUUCUGCAGGGGGUUAUCAGGAAAUAUGGAGAGAAGGCCCACAUGUCAUGUGUACAAUGAGAUAAUUACGUGCCGCGCAAUUUUCCUUAAUCUAGAAGAGUCCAGAAGCCACGGGAACGAACGCGAAGACGAACGGGCUCGGGGGCAGGGCGCCCGCCCUGGGUUGGACUCCAAUCAGAACUCUUUUCGGGGACCAAGCUCCACCGACCUAAAGGAUCAAGGAUAACCGUCCAAUCAAUGUUGGUUUGAUCCAACGGCCCAAAUUCACUUGAAAGGACUAUAUAACCAAGGCCUCUCCACCCCUGGGGGAGAGAAGAGAAGAGGAGAAAUCAUUAUCAGAGGUAGCCAUCAAAGUUAGGGUUUAGAGCUUCUCUCCCACAGAGAAUUAGAAUUAGCUACUCCCUAAUCCUUCAAGUUUAUAGGUUUGAUUAGAUAGCAAUUAGAGAAGUAGAGCACUACGCUCUGGAUUCAGAUCUUCGGUAAUAAAGAUCGGUAUUAUUCAUAUCUUUCUCUAAUACUUUGUUCUAAUUGCAUUAUGUCUCUAUUUAUUAUGUUCUUAGUUUGCUCUAGUUCUAUAUUUGAUAUAGUUAUGAUUGAUAAUGAGUUUAUGUAUAAGUUUGCAAAGCGCUUAGCUCUUGACGCGAGGGAGUUAAGUGGUAGAUCACAUGUGGGCGUGGUGCUUAGAUGUUAUUUACCUGCAAAUGUAUCCUAUUGGCCAGGUCGUGUGGUAGUUCGCGAUAGUGAUAGCUUCGUUGAUUCUUAUAUAGUCCACCCUCCGUCGAUAGGAUAGGCAGAAUUUGUAUUGCGGAGUAAGUCUUACGAUGUUCUGAUUUACUUUAGCAAUGUUCCUUAUACAUGAAUGAACAGUCUUUUGUGCUAUACAUGAUCUUGUAGAUAACUAGAGUAGAUUGUGACUUAGUAGAUAGUAGAUAACUUAGAAUCCAUUCUCUAGCUAAUCCGACGUCACCUUACAUAUAUGAGGAGUAGUCUAUUUUCUGAUCGCUGUGUUAUUUACCCAUGAACUUAUAAUUCAUUAUCAUUAUCUUUAUGGUUUACCCCCUGCCAAAGUAAGUGACUGUGUGACGAGUUUCUCAUUAGUAAUCAUGUCUUGCAAGUUUAUCUCUAGUUUAUGCCUUGAUAGAUUUUGUCCUUAUUUUAAUUUCAUCCCUUUUGUUCUCUUAAGCAAAAUUAUAAAUAACGAUACCUGGAAUACUUAUCCUGGUGAAAUGCUACAAUGAGGUGUUUUAUCUAUGCGCUUGCGGAUAGAAUAGAUUAUUUUCUAGAGAGCCUUUGCAUUUAUAAAUACCUUUGUACACUCUGGCAUCAUGCUGGGGAUGACAACCUAGUAUCUAAGUGGUGUUAGCUAGUGUCAACACUUUGUCGAUUGUAAGGUCAAAUCGGCUGGCAUGCCUUAACGUUGAAUCGGGUAUUAGCCCUUUGUGUUUGCAGAUCCACUUUUGCACCAACACAUCUUUUGGCACUCUCGGUGGGACAGAGAUUCAACAUCAAGAUCGACAUGUCGAACACCGAUUUCGACUUGGAGAACGUCAUCCCCGUGACGGAAGCCAAUCUCAGAGAUGAACAGAAGCAAGCUAUGGCAAAAGCUAUGGAGGACUACAAGCAGCUAUGCUUGAAAUCCUUUAGUUUCAACAGGAGUGGCGAGGUGAUCCAAAAGGAAGCACUGCCGAUGCCUUGGCAAAUUACUUUUGAAGCCAAUCCUGGUAAACUACAAGAGAUGGUUGACAGUGCUAUUAAUCGUGCUCUAAUCAAUCAAUCUAGUGUGCUGUCCAAUACAGUUGUCAAUGCUGUGGCUAGAACUUUCAAAGAAGGAAAAGUACCGCCAUCUUAUGUGGGCCCAGCUUAUCAUUAGCCAGGGGCAUCAUCGGUUACGGCUCCAUCGGCUACUACGGCCGUUGCGGGUACAGAAGUUACUUCUCCUCCAAGCACAUUAGCGAUAACUAAUGCGCAAUCUACACCGAUGAUGACCAAUCCAUCAACAUUAGAGGGACAAAUCAAACUUGCUUCAGAUUUAUUGGCAUCAGCGAUGUCAGGGUCUGUUCCUCCCAAUUGGUGGGGAUAUGGUAUGCCCCCAGAGUUUAUGGCAAAUAGCUCUAGGAUGUCUCAAGCGGCUAACAUGACAGGCAAGGCUCCUAUGGCAUCGGCACCCCUAGGCUCAUCGAUGACUCAGAAUCCCCAAUAUUCUACAACUACUACUGCAAGACCUUUUACUAGGAAUUCUCAAAUGCCAAUGUUCCAGAUGCCUAACGCAUCGGCAGAUUCAAUGCCGACAUAACAAAGGUUUACAACACAGACAAGGUAUGUCAAUUCAAUGAUGAUGCCCAAUUAUCAGCCAUCGGCAGGGCCUACGCCGAUGAAUGUCAAUAAUGGAUGGACAGGGUAGUUUGUCUUUCCACAGAUGCCUCAGUAGAAUCAUCAGGCUAUGGGAUUUCAGCAGGGACCAAUGCAACCUGGAUUUCAGAAUCAAGGGUUAAUCAACCAGCCGAUGAAUCUUGGUCAGCAAAUUGGUGGCCAACAAGCGGUGGCUAAUCCUAUGUUCCCUAGAGAUCGUGCACUGCAGAGAUACCUGGAAGCUUAUCAGCAGAUGCCAGAUCCACAACCAGCUCAUCGGCAAGAUGCCAAUGCUUAUUGGGCCGAUAAGAUAGCUGAGGUGAUGAGAGACCAAUUUGGGACAAAACUUAAAGUCAACACUUACUCUUAUCGGACACCGUAUCCUCCUGCAUAUGAUUUAAUUCCGCUUCCAAAUCGGUACAAGGUGCCGGAUUUCACCAAGUUUUCUGGACAGGAUGAUACAUCAACCAUGGAACAUGUCAAUAGAUUUAUCAUCCAGUGUGGGGAAGCUACUAAUAGAGAUGAGUUAAGGGUUCGUUUAUUCUCAUCGUCUUUAUCUGGAUCGGCCUUUACUUGGUUUAUUUCAUUACCUCCAAACUCAGUGAUUACUUGGGCCGAUCUAGAGAAGCAAUUCCACAAGUACUUCUUUUCUGGAGUACAUGAGAAGAAGAUUACCGAUUUAGUCAGGCUAAGGCAACGCAAUGAUGAAUCGGUUGAAAGCUUUGUGCAGAGGUUACGAGAUGUUAAGAACAAAUGGUAUAGUCUGGUUCUGGAUGAUCGGCAGCUAGCCGAUUUGGCUUUCCAAGGAUUGUUGCCACACAUUAAAGACAAAUAUGCUUCUCAAGAGUUUGAAAGUCUAAGCCAUUUAGUGUAGAGGAUUUCUGACCAAGAUAUCAGAGCUUUUGAACCUAAGAGAGCAUGGAACAAAAAGGUUUCAUUUGUUGAUGAGGCAACAAGCUCGGACUCUGAUGAAGAACCAAUCAUCGGCUUGGCAGAGUGGGUAAUGAAUAAGAAGCUGAUGUCUUGCCCUUUUGGGCAUAAAGAACCAGAAAAGUUUGUAUUUGAUAUCACCAAAGCCGAUAGGAUAUUUGACUUUUUGCUUCAGGAGGGGCAAAUUAAGUUAUCACCCAAUCAUGUGAUUCCAUCGGCAGAAGAGUUAAAGAAGAUUAAGUUCUGCAAGUGGCAUAAUGCAACAUCCCAUAGUACAAAUGAGUGCAAGGUUUUCAAGCAACAGCUGCAAUCGGCUAUAGAGUCUGGGAGAAUUAAGUUCAAUAGCUCCAAAGCUCAAAAAUCGAUGAAGAUUGACCAACAUCCUUUCCCUACAAAUAUGUUGGAUGCUAAGGGAAAGACUAAAGUCUUGACAUCAGAGGCAGCUGAAAGAAGCGCAUCGGUGGAUCCUCAACACCAGAUUACUGCCGAUGAUGCCAAAGGCAAGGGUUUGAUCCAGGAAGGAACCAGCUCAGGAAGGUCUCCCCGAUCUGGCAUUGUGAUUACUCAUAGAAGGCAUCGGGAGACCUGGCAGCAGUGUGAAGAUCGGUAUCGGCGCCAACAGGAAGAUCAUCGUCGGGAAGACGAAAGACGCCGACAAGAGUGGAAUCGGCAUAAAGAUCACUGGAACUAUCCGUUCUUCAUCCACUGUUGGGAGCAAAAUAUCAAGUUACCAACUAUCAGAGACUGCCCUGAGUGCAAUGGCUAUAAUCGGUAUGAUAGACCAAAUCGGCAGUAUCAGAACAAUGAUCGGCAUUUUGAUGGGCUGAUUAGAGGAACAGCCUCAGUUCAUGAUCGGCUGGGGGGCAGACUCAGCGUGCAUGACAGACUUGGUGAGCGUGUCGGGUAUUUUCUCAGAAACCAAGAGGAGCUUGAAGAGCACGAGUUCCCGAUGAGUUCAAAUUUUGUAGAGAUGCUAAUACUUAUCGAAUGGAAUCAAGAGAAAAUCAUCGUCAGUCGACCACAACUUCCUCCAUGGUGUCUAGAGGGAUUAACUAGGACAUAGAAAAGAAGGCUAUAGCGAGAGCGACGAGAAGAGUUGAGUAGAGGAGAGAAUUUUGCUAAGUCUGGAGAUCAGCAGCAGCCAGAUCCUAAAGGAAAAGGGCCAUCGGCAGAUGUUAAUAUGGUAUUUAUGUUGCCGAUGAAAUUCUUUGCACCUUUCAGUGAUGAUGAGGAGGUGGAUUUCCCCGAUCAGAUAGCUCAGUUGCCUCUAGAUCCGAUGACGGCUAUCUUUGAAAAGCCCGCUGAUAAUGAGAGACAAUAUCUUAAAGCUUUGUUUGUCAAAGGCAGGGUUGAUGGGCAACCGAUGACCAAGAUACUUGUUGAUGGUGGGGCUGCUAUCAAUAUUAUGCCAUAUGCAGUCUAUCGGAAGCUUGGCAAAGGAGAUCAAGAUUUGACGAAGACCGAUAUGAUGUUAAAGGAUUUUGAAGGAAAUGUGUCUCUAGUCAAGGGAGCCAUAUGUGUUGAGUUGACCAUCGGCAGCAAAACCUUGCCGAUAACUUUCUUCGUCAUCAGUGGAAAGGGUGCUUAUAAUCUACUGUUGGGGAGAGACUGGAUUCAUGCCAAUUGUUGCAUCCCAUCCACGAUGCACCAAUGUCUGGUUCAGUGGGUAGGUGACAAGAUUGAAAUUGUCCGAGGAGAUUCUUCAUAUGUCAUCACAUCGGUAGAGGCGGAUACUUAUGAAAAGAACAGAUGCAUUUCAGGGGAAAUUUGGGAAAAGGAUUUUGUCAAAGUCACCGAUUAUGAAAUUCCACCAAUCCAAGCAGUCGGUUCUGAUGACGAGUCUUAAUGGAUAGGUUCGCCGAUGAUGGAAAAUUAGGCUAGGGGUUUACAUCGGCCGAUGAUUUAGUAGAAGUAGAUAUAGGUAAUGGUGAUAGGCCAAGGCCUAUGUUUAUUAGUGCUAAGUUAGAUUCUGAGUGUAAGCAACAGUUAACCGAUUUGUUAAAGGAAUAUAAAGAUUGCUUUGCUUGGGAUUAUACCGAGAUGCCUGGUUUGGACCGAUCUAUUGUUGAACGUCGGUUGCCUAUCAAAUCUGGAUUUCGGCUGCAUCAGCAGCCAGCUCGCCGAUGUAAUCCUAAUAUUCUUCCUGAUAUUAAGGCUGAAAUAACUAAACUUAUCGAAGCAAAAUUUAUUCGGCAGUGUCGGUAUGCUGAAUGGAUUUCAAAUGUUGUUCCAGUUUCCAAGAAGAAUGGGAAGCUUCGUGUCUGUAUUGAUUUUAGGAAUCUUAACAAAGCUACAUCGAUGGAUAGUUAUCCAAUGCCAGUUGCCGAUUUACUAGUUGAUGCUACAGCUGGACAUCGGAUUAUUAGCUUUAUGGAUGGGAAUGCAGGAUAUAAUCAAAUAUUCAUGGCCGAAGAAGAUAUUCCAAAGACUGCAUGUAGAUGUCCUUUGUCAUGUUGGGUUGUUUGAAUGGAUAGUCAUGACCUUUGGCUUGAAAAAUGCUGGUGCUACUUAUCAGAGGGCUAUGAAUUUUAUCUUUCACGAGUUCAUCGGUAAGCUGGUGGAAAUUUAUAUUGAUGAUGUGGUGGUUAAUUCUGGAGUUUUCACAAAGCAUCUUGCCGAUCUACGAAAGGUGUUGGAGUGCACAAGGAAACAUGGUUUAAAUAUGAAUCCUAAUAAGUGUGCAUUUGGUGUAUCGGCAGGGCAAUUCCUUGGUUUCAUGGCGUAUCGGAGAGGAAUUGAAAUUAGUAGGAGAUCUAUUGAUGCUAUCAACAAAAUAGUUGCUCCCACCAACAAAACUGAACUCCAAUCUCUAAUCGGCAAGAUAAAUUUUAUCAGGUGAUUUAUAUCUAACUUGUCUGGUAAGAUUUGUGCUUUUAGUCCUUUACUUAAGUUGAAAGCCAAUCAAGAGUUUGUGUGGGGAAGAGAGCAACAAGCAGCAUUGGACGAAAUCAAGAAUUAUUUGACAAAUCCUCCAGUUCUGAUUCCACCUCAGCAAGGAAAACCAUUCAAAUUGUAUUUGUCUACCGAUGGGAUGGUCAUUGGUUCGGCUCUAAUUCAAGAAUUUGAAGGGAAGGAACAUGUGAUUUUUUAUUUAAGUAGAAGACUGGUUGAUGCUAAGACCAGGUAUUCGGCAAUUGAAAAAUUAUGUUUAUGCUUAUACUUUUCAUGUAUUAAGUUGAGACAUUAUUUGCUAUCGGCCGAAUGCACUGUUAUAUGCAAAGAUGAUGUAGUCCGAUACAUGCUAUCUAUGCCGAUUAUGAGUGGUAGAAUCGGCAAAUGGAUUUUGGUGCUGUCGAAAUUUGAUCUGCGUUAUGAAUCGGCUAAGUCAGUUAAAGGGUAGAUUAUGGCCGAUUUUGUGACUCGGCAUUGUGGUGUAGUGGGGACUUUGGAGAUUGUUCCUUGGACGCUCUUCUUUGAUGGAUCCACGUGUGACUGGGGGGUAGGAAUUGGUAUAGUACUAAUUUCUCCUCGGGGAAAGAAGUAUGAGUUUUCUUUACCGAUUGUCGCCAUGUCAAUGAAUAAUCAAGCUGAGUAUCAAGCUUUGAUCAAAGGGUUGGAAUUGUUAAAAGAGGUUCAUGCUGAUGCUGUUGAAAUCUUUGGUGAUUCUAUGCUUGUUAUAAAUCAAUUGGCUGGAAUUUGUGAAUGUUGAAGCGAGGUCUUGAUAACCUAUUAUGAAAAGAGUAUGCAACUGUUGAGGGAAUUCAAGAAUUUCUAAUUGGAGCAUGUUCCUCGAUUACAUAAUGAAGAGGCUAAUCGGUUGGCUCAGCAUGCCUCGGGAUAUCAACCUAUCUUAAAUGCGUAUCGGCAAUCAGUGCCGAUGAUUGGAGAAAGGAGAUCAUUGAUUACUUAAAAGAUCCAUCUAAAAAGGUUGAGAGGCGUGUCAGGUUUCAAGCUACUAGGUAUGUACUCCUUGGAGAAGAGUUAUAUUAUCGAACGAUAGAUGGAGUUUUACUCAGGUGCUUGAGUGGUGAUGAAGCUAAAAGUUUGAUGGGUGAGAUCCAUGAGGGGAUAUGUGGAGCACAUCAGUCGACUUUUAAGAUGAAAUGGAUGUGUCGGUGUUUUCCCCCGGGGGGUCACACCAACCAGUAAAUUUGUAUGCGUGCUUCCUUUUCCAGAUGGUGAUGCAAAAAGACACAAAGAUUUAUCCUGGUUCGGGCAAGAGAAGGCCCUACGUCCAGCAGGGGGGAGAGUUUGUAUUAUUCUGCACCUAAGUGCUUGUACAGGGGUGAAUACAAGCGUGGUAUGAACUGGGAUGGAGAUGGAGUAUGGAAGCUCUACUACGUGUGGCGUGUGUGUUGUGUUGUAUCACGUGUCCCCUAUCCGCUCUCGGGCCAAGGAGAGACCUAGGGUACAUGUAUAGGCGUCAGAGUAGGGGUCGAUAGAGGUAUGGCGCGCUGACCUACUCGAGGCCUCCGUACCGGUGUGGCCUCGAGCUGUCCCGUCUUGGUGCCUUGAUCAUGAUUACGCGUGCCCCUGAAACCCACUCCUGUGCGCCGUCCUGGACUGACUUGGCUGUUGCAUGCUUGUACAUCGCGGCGGCAGAUAUGUCGGAGUGGUUGUAGUGUUGUCAUUCGACGCCCGACUCUUCUCCAGGAAGGAAAUGUGCCUACUCGAGGGUCUGGUGCCGUAUAAUGCCUUGUCAGCCAGAGCGCUGACCUUAGACGUCUCGAGGGGGGUCUUGAUUAGACGUUCCGACCCACUCCUUGCGUCCUGCCACGUUCUGGCUUGUUUGGUGGGGAAGGCUGCAAAAAGAAUGAUGGGACGGGUGCCUGUUCCCUAUCAAGCUUCCCGUGACUGGUGGGUUAGGUGAGAACGCGACAGGCGCAUUAAAUGCCCAGGUGGCGGGUGGCGUCCUUGCGCUCAACGCCUUUCGAUUCGCUCGAGCCUAUUUCCGUAUUCGACGGUAGCCGGCGCUCGAACCCUGAUCGAUUCGCAGGACGCUCUUUCCGUGUUCGAGACCAUGGCCGUCGAGGACCGUACGUAUGACCGGGUAGAGCGUCGAGUUGGAGGCCUCGACUUGCAUACGGGCAUUCUCGUCAUGCACAUCAGUUAGGGUAUCCCUUACUGAUAUCCUCGACAGGAUGAUUAGGAGGAAUGGGUAUUAUUGGCCGACUAUAUUUGAGGAUUGCUUUAAAUAUUUCAAAGGUUGUCAAGGAUGUUAGAGAUUUGGUAAUGUUCAAAGGGCACCUGCAUCGACCAUGAAACCUAUAAUUAAGCCUUGGCCGUUCUGGGGGUGGGCUAUUGAUCUAAUCAGAUAGAUGUAUCCGCCAUCAAGCAUGGGGCAUAAGUUCAUCUUAGUCGCCACUAACUAUUUUACCAAGUGGGUUGAAGCUAUUCCUUUGAAGAAAGUAACAUCGACAAACAUGAUUGAUUUUGUGAAAGAGCAUAUUGUUUACCGAUUUGGUAUUCCUCAAACAAUCACUACCGAUCAGGGUACUAUGUUCACAUCAGGAGAGUUUGAUGAAUUUGCAAUCGGUAUGGGGAUUAAAGUGUUGAUUUCUUCUCCUUACUAUGCUCAAGCCAAUGGACAAGCCGAAGCAUCUAACAAAGGGAUUAUUAAGCUCAUCAAACGAAAGAUUGAAGAAAAUCUUAGAAGGUGGCAUACGUUGUUGAAUGAAGCUUUGUGGUCAUAUCGGAUGGCAUGUCAUGGAUCGACCAAAGUUUCACCUUAUCAGCUAGUAUAUGGACACGAUGCGGUGUUGCCAUGGGAAAUUAAGACUGGAUCUAGGCGGGUAUCUUUUCAAGAUCAAUUGGUUGCUGAUGACUAUGCCACUUUGAUGAAAGACGAGUUAGAUGACUUGGCAGGGCAUCGGUGUAACACCCCAGUGUUAUGGUUGCAUUAAUCACAUGCAUAACAUAAGCAUCAUCCUCUACUCAAGCAUGUCUUGGUCAUCAUCUACCUUGAGUCAUGUCAUUCUAUGCAAAAAUGGGAUUUAAAUUGCUUAAAUAGGCUCCCUAUGCUUAUGUUUGAGUGAACCAUGCUUGUGUUUGGGUGCUAUGCCUUGUUAAAUAGUUUAUCUAAGCUUAACUUAACCUUGGGAACAAUGUUCAUGUUGAUCACUUCUCCAAAAUAAUCACUUAAGUCAUACUUAUGUAAAUAGGCCCUAGAAACCUCUUUUGCUUAGGCUUUUAAAACGUGUUUCAUAAAAUGUUUGCAUGUCAAAACUUUCUACAGCAAAGUUGUAGAAAAUUUUAUAAGAAACAAAAGUUGUUUUAUGGCCAUCUCAUGAAAAUGAACACAAAUAGCUCAAAAUUGACCCACAAGGCAGAUUUGGGGCUGUUUCCAACACUUAGAAAAUUUUCUAAGUCUAGAAUCACUGCAGUUUGCUCGAGGGGGUGUUGUUCAUCUUCCAGUUUGAAUUCUAGGCCAAAUCAAACUAUGAUCUUGUAAACAAUGUUGGAGUACUCAUGUAGCUCUCCAGCAUAGAGCAAUUAGCCAGCAAAAUCAUCGAGUGGUUUAGGAGUUAAUCAUCGUGCAAAAUCGAGUUUCAGUUGGGUUUGGGAACUGAAUGAGGUCGCCGGCGGACAGGGGGAGCUCGCCGGUGACGCCGCGUGUCUGGACCCGUGCCGUCCGUACGUCGCCGUUGGUCCCGCUCGUCAGUCCUCAGCGCGUCCUGCAGCUCGCCACGGUGCCCCCGGUCGCGUGGACAGCGUCAUUCCACUCCCGGCUCCCUCCCUCUCGCGUGCGUCGUCGUCUCCGCGUCGCCGCCGUUGCUUCGGCGAGCUCGCGCGCACGUGUCUCCGUGUCUCUGGCCAAGCCACUCCGCCCAGCGCUCCGCCAGCCUCUCCACUUCACCGUCGUCAAGUUGGCUACGGCUGCCGAGCCUCGGUAAGCCGGCAUUGCCUUCUCCGUCGCGAGCUUACCUCGCCGGAGCUCUGCCAUGGCCACCGGCGUCGUGGCCAGGGCUCUGUAGUCCACCAUUCUUCCUCAUUCUUGUCCCAAAAGCUCCGCUAGGUCUUGCUGUUGCUCGUCCGCACUCUCUUCCGCUCUGUCUCCGGCCAGAGGCGCCGGCGGUCGGCCGCGUACCACCACUGUGCCGCCAUUCGCGAGGGCGAGGUACCUAGAGUCCAGUAGAGUUAGGGUUUCGGGUACUGCUCGAUGCGGACUGAUGUGGGGAGCACGAUGGUGCCCUUGGUUGUCGCCGAGACCUCGCCGUCGAUGAGAUCUUCGGCGGUCAAGUCGCGCCUCUGCUCUCGGGUCGCUGGCAUGUGGGGUCCGUUGACUCGCGGGUCCCCCUGUCAGUCUCUCUUUCUCCUUUGUUUAAUUUAGGGUUUGAGCUGUUUUUGCAAAAAUCAUAUCUCUGGUUCUGGUGAUCCAAAAAUUGUGAAAUCAAUUUUGUGGUAUUCCUUGAGAUGGCUAGUUUUUAAUAAAAAUAUAAAAUGAACCAUGUUUUCUGGGAAAAUAUUUAUUAAAGAUUUAAUUUUGUUAUUCAUAAGUAAAUUCAUAUCUCUUGUUAUACUUCUUAGUUUGCCAUGAAAAUUUUAUGGUAGUCUCUGUGCGGUACUAGAGUGCUUUGAUAAAUAUUUCAUGAUUUUUGGAGUACUGCAGCUUUGUUAUGUAAUUUAUGUUUGAGAUUUGGCUUGUUUCUUUAAUAAAAUCAUAUAAAAUAAUUGGUGUUUAUGCUGGUACUCUACUUUGGUAGUAAACUUGUUUAUGGUAUUCAUAAUAUAUAAAUAAUCUGAAAUCUGUUGUUUGACACAAUAUAAGUCAUGAUUCCCAAUUUAUGAAAUAAACAUCUUGUUACAUGUUAAAUGCAUAUCUUUAAUUUGGUAUGUGCAAUUGCUCUGAAAUUUUUAUGGUGAUGCUUUGAUGCUAUUCUUGUGCCUUUGUAAUUUUUGUAGAUUUUUCUGAGCAAUCUGACUAGUAUCUUGUAAUUAUGCUCCUCUCUAUGAUUAAAUUACUAAAUGCCUUGUUAAUAAACAUUUGGAGAUUAUCAUGUGAUGUUCUGGUAACCUUAUGUUAUGCUUGUGCUUAUAAGUCAUGUGGUUGGCACUGUUUGUAUUUCGGUUAUGUCAUCAAAUAAUUAAUUCUAGGGUUAAAGGCUGUUCUGGACAUCAAGGGAGUAAUAUAGUCUUUACUUGUUGUUAACUUGGUUUUCUGGGAGGCUUGUCUAAAUCAAAGUUGUUGUAAACUUUAUGGACUAGCUGUGGUUUAAAUUUGGGGUCAUUUGGCCUAGUAGUUUAAAAGUUAUAGCUGUUCCAAGUUCGGUUCCAGAAAUAGGUGCUCUCUGUUUUUCUGGGACAUAACCUGAAACUUUGUUUAAAUGGCUUCUUUAACUUAUGAAUCUUGCUGUGAUGCUCAAAGAUGAUUUGUAGACAAUUUCAUAAGCUUUCCAGAAUGUCCUCACUCACGUUUGUUGGAUCUGCCUAGCACUAGUUAUGAUAUGUUUACUGAGGUAAACCUGCUAUAUGAUGCUUGCUGUUUUAGGUUAUCAUGAUAGGUUUUGGGCUUAGUUGACUUACUACCUCGUGUGAACUUGUUAUAAUUGUGUUACUCCGUAAAUGAGUGUCCAGUGAGUCCAUUAUGUUAUCAAGCAUUCAUCUUUAGCAUGUCCACCUUCUUAUUCAUCGAGCAUGCAAUAGGUGCAUCGGACGCGACCGCCUCCUACGAGCUUCAAGUGAACCCCGAAGGCCAGGAGGGCAACCCGGAGGCGGAGGUCCAGCAAGUCGGACUCGAGGAGCCCGAAGAAGAAGUUGAGUGCCCGAGUCACGAGCCAGCCUCGUUCGUGAAAGGCAAGCCCCGGAGCAUUCUAAGUCUCCCUUUACUUUCGAAAGUUUACUUAAUAUGUUAUAUCUAUUGCUGCAUUAAGUAUAGGAGUUGUGAUGACACCCUUGCUGCAUUUUACUCCAUCCUUGUCCAGAUAACUCACCACACCUUGGUUAUAGAGUUAGGAUCGAGUAGCAGGUUAGCCAUGCUUAAUGGGUAGAAGUCGGGUGAUUUCCUGUCACCUGCGCGAUAUAGGGUUGUGUCGGAUCACGAUGGUCUAUAUGUGCUAUCGUGGAUGGAACCUGAUUAAAAAUGAUUUAAGCUGGGCGGAGUUUUGCAAGGUUGUAGUAACUCCGUCUGUGGCAGCUAAGGACUGACCGUUGUACGUCCUCAUGUCAUGUUGAACGCAGGCCUAACACUUAGUUGGCCGGAUAACUCGUUCCGACCGCGAAGCCGAGUAAUAUGACUUAGGCUGGAAGGUCGAUAAGUAUAAAGUGCGCACUACCGGAGGAAGUGCGGUGUGCGGAGGACCAUUGGCGUAAGCCCAAAGGCAGGUGAGUUAAAAUUCCUGACCUCCCUGGCAGAGUGUUAUCCCUGGGAGUACGGCGCUUAUCGGAACCGCGAUUCCGGAGUUGUAUCAAAGGUGACCCGUAGGCUCUUCGGCAGGGGAAGCUUGGGUGAGUGAUAGGAAUAACCCUCCAGCUAGAUAGGAAUUCGAUUCGAAUCGCCGUCUCUCCCAGUUAGUGAGAACUUGACAGAGCAGCGGCAAACGUAGCAUUCACUAAAGAACUUGGGUUCAUGGUAAUGAUGAUAGCCAGGAAAAGUACAUGAUGAACUGGAUAUGGUUAUUAUUGUUUGUAAUAAUCAAGUGAAGUGCUUUAGUAUAGGUGCUAAUCUAGUAGUAGGCUGAUGAUGAAUAAAUAUGAUGCUCUCACAAUAAUGUAGUUUAUGCAAGCUUUUGGCAAAUAUGAGUCAACCAGCUCCAUUUGAUGUUAGCCUUGCAUGAUCCUUGGUGUCUUUUAUGUUUUACUAGACGGGUAAGUCUAGCUGAGUACAAUCUCGUACUCAGGGUUUAUUCCCACCUGUUGUAGAUGGCAUCUUUUAUGACGGCUUCUGCAAGACCUGUCUCCAUCCCGCUGGGGAUGAGGACUAACCGUUGGGCACGGUUCUCUAACAAUCUCGUACCUGUUGCUUUUGGAAGGAUGAUGUAGACUCUGGCAGUAACUCGAACUUAUGAACUGAACUUUGGAAAGUGUGUGUGUAACUAUUUUGCUUCCGCUACUUCGAACAAGUGUUGUAAUAACUUAAUACUCCGAUGUGGUGCCGCUUCGACGGCAAUGAGUGACUAUGUAACAUUCGCUGUGUUGUGCUGAAUUAUUACGAUCUUGGUUUGUUGCAAGUUGGUUUGAAGUCCUUCGUGAUUUCAAUUGACUACCGGGAUUAUAUGGGCUCAAGUUUGGAAACUUGAUUGCUUGUCGAUCGUUUCUACACUUGAACUCUUAUAAUUUGGUCGGUUCUGUGACAGCUGGUAUCGGAGCAAGUUCAGCAUUAUAAAUGCAGCAUUUGUGUAUUUAAAAACAAAAGAGUUUUUAAAAUAAAAAUGGUGUAAAUCAAUAUUUAAGUUAUGCUAGUGGUCGGAUCCUCCUUGCCCACAUAAGGACUAUAGGUGGCUAUUUAAGUACUGACUUGGGGGGGUUUAAUUUAUUCAACUCCGACAGUACUUAGGUAUGGAUGUGUGAUGACCGCACUAUGCUACCCUGUGGUCUAAUGGUGGAGGUAGCCUUCAUAUGUGAAGUAGCCACAUAUGUCGCUAGAUUUAAAUUAUGCAACGUCGCACCUACGCCCUGGUAAGUGUGAGCUGUGAGAGCAUGAUCGUCCAAACGGCGGUCUAGGGGAGUGUUCGCGGUGGUUUUCUAGAGUGGUUACAUGUCAAACCAUGGAACCACGAAAGAAACUUAACUGGGGAGCAUUUAAUUUCUCGGGUAGCUGUGGUGUCAUAGUUUGUGCAUGUUGGGCAUGUCCAAGCAAUGUGCACUUAGUUUACUGCUUUCUUGAGUGAUAUAUUGGGAACUGUUGGGCUGAAAUGAAGUUUUCUGCAGGUACUCUAACAGCGCACGUGUAAAUCGCUAGUUAUCGUAUCGAGAGACGAAUGUAUGCCACUGUAUAUCCGUUAGAAUAUUAAUUUUCUAAGUUUGUGAGGACGUACGGUUCGUGCAUGCAUCAUGUCGCAUUCAUACAUACAUUCUGUCUACUCCUUCCCUUACAAUGUCGUCCCUUUUUAAUUAAAUAAAUGUUGCUUAACUAAUCCUCUAUUACCUAUGGUAUUCCUAUUCCUUUCCACAGAUGUCGCUUCACCCCGUCCCAGUGACACCUUCUUGAGCGAGUUUGGCACUCCUACCCUACUCUGGAGAGUGUUACAGUCUGUCGGGUAUGCUGAGCCACCUCAGUAUUCGUGGUGGGAGUUGGAGAGCAUAGGAGGGAUACAGUGGUUUGCUGUGCAGGGAGUUGUCCCUCCACAUGGGGACAAGCCUGCAUGGACAGGGUGGACUUGUAGCUCCAAUGGGCAGACUACUUGGGAGGCAGCUCAGGUUGCAGCCCAGACUAUCCUGCUCGAUAUCUGCCAGAGGUGUGGCGAUGAGCUGACGGGAGGGCCAGCGGCCUCCAUUCCCCGUGCUGACCCAGCAGCAGCGGAGUGGAAACAGGCUGAUGGUUGUGCUUUGGAUCGAGGCAGGGGAGAGAGAGCUGAGAGUUCUAGUCCUGCUAUGAGUGCUAUGAUGGCUGUGCUCAAGCUGAUCAGUCAGCGAGAGGACACCUAUGCACAGGUGAUGGUGGCUGUUCGCCAGGCUCAGGAGAUGCAACGGAAGGCUGAAAAGCGUGCUCGCAAGUUUCGCAAGCAAGCUAGACUCCUGGAGCAAGCUCAGAAGGACCGCAAUGACUGGGAAUACAUUGCAGAGUAUCGUAGGCAGCAGUGGGUGAAGGCCAUUAGAGAGAGAUCAUAAGCAGGAUCAGAUGAGUCAGUUAGCUAGAGAGAGGGAGACCAUACAGGAGCGCUUGGUGCAGAUCACUCGUGAGAGGGACACUGCACUCCGCGUGUCGGAGAAUAGGCGCCGGGCAUGGGAGAUGCAUCGGAUUCAGUCUCUUGAGCAGGAGAACUAUCUGUAGGAUCAGAUUGAGGCUGGUCUUGUGGAGAUUCACCGUCUCAACAACUUGCUACACCCUAUUCCUCGCCCUAUACCCAUGUACCCAGAGGUGGGACCUCAGGUGAUUGUGGCCGAUGAUGAUGGUAUGGAGGUCGAUGGACCAGCAGCGGCCACACCACCCUUGCACGAGGACGUGGAGGACGAGGAGCUUGAGCCAGUUAGCGAUGAGGAUGGAGAGGCGAUCUUCGACGCUGACUUGGACGACGAGCCUGGAGUGUAGAGAGUAGUGGGUAGUGUUGUGUAGGGAUCUUUUGUAGUCUGGUAGUUAGCGGUGAUGUUUGAUUACCCAUGAUGUAAUCUGGAACUUUGACCUUGACUCAUGGCAUGUACUAUGAUGGUGUAAUAACUUUGUGGACCCAAUAUGUAAUCUUGACACGCUCGUUAUGUUAUGACGAUGUUUUCCGUUGUGGUGCAUAUUGCGGAUAUCUCUGUCAUGUGUUGGAUUGGUGAUGUUGUUUUGUGGAAUUGAAUUAUUGUGCCUUUUCUGUAAAGCUAUUCUCUCGAAUACUUUCAGGCAUAAGUAUAAAUCUUCUGCGGCAAAUCUUGUCAUCAUCAAUACUCACUGACUGUGUCUUUACAGAUGUCUCGUGGCACCCGAGGUGCGGAACAGCGUGCAAACAUGAAUCCACCCCCUCCUCCUCCCCCACCAAAUCCAGCUGAGCUGAUGCAAAUGAUGGUGGAAAAUCAGAGGAUGCUCACUGAGACCAUCAAUCGAAUGGCAAAUCAGGGUGGUCGUAAUGUGCAAGCAGGGCCAGCACCUAACCAGUAUAGCAGCUUCAAGGAUUUCCUGGAUACUAAGCCCCCACCUUUCAGAGAGGCGGAAGAACCCCUUCAAGCUGAGGAAUGGCUGAACACUGUGGAACAAAAGUUCCACUUGCUUCGGCUAACCGAGGGUUUGAAGGUGGAGUACGCAGCUCAUCAACUGCAAGGCCCAGCAGGCAUGUGGUGGAAUCAGUAUCGGGAAGCUCUUCCCGCCGACACGGUGCUUGAUUGGAAUCUGUUCCGUGAUGCUUUUAAAGGGCAUUUCAUUCCUCCUGGUAUCAUGGAGAUGAAGCAUACUAAGUUUAUGCAGUUGACUCUGGGCAACAAAACUAUGAAGGAGUAUUUGCAUGCUUUCAAUCAUUUGUCUAGGUAUGCUCCUGAGUUUGUGAAAACUGAGGCGAAAAACAUUGCUAGUUUCAAGCUGGGUUUGGGCCCCAAGUUGCUGAAGACUAUGGGUCGCACCAAGUGUGCAACUUUCAAUGAAUUUGUCAGUGAUGCUCUGACCCAAGAGAAAUAUAACACUGUGUACUCGGCAACCAAGACUCGCAAGCGGGCUUUUGAGGCCGGGGCAGGUUCAUCUCAGUCCAAGGCUCCAGUGGCAGCUAAGCCACCGUUCCGUGCUCCAACACCUAACCAGCGGUAUCGCCCGCCUGCGAAGAAGAAUCAGGCCAAAACAGGUUUCCGCAAGGGGUACUCUAUUGCUCUUCCUAGGGUGCAACACGGGUCCCAACUAUGCCAAGACUCCACCUGCCAACCGUCCGUGCUGGAAUUGCAAUCAGACCGAGCAUUGGCAGAGCAACUGUCCUUACCUGCCAAAGAAGGGCAACCAGGGGAACGUCCGCCAGGGGCGUGUUCACUACACAACCGUGGAGGCAAUCCCUGCUGGUGAGGUAGUCACGGCUGGUAAGUUUCUCGUUAACCAAUGUGAUGCACUUGUGCUUUUUGAUUCAGGAGCAUCGCAUUCUUUUGUGAGUUCAGACUUUGUGUCUAAGCAUAAUCUCAAAGCAAGUAUACUUGAUAAGGGUAGUUAUUGCAUUAGUGCUGCUGGGAAUGAUAUAUCUACCAAUCAAGUGGUUUUUGGGGCAACUCUGGAAAUUGGAGGCCGUCAGUUUCUUGCUGAUCUGGUUGUCUUACCCGGUGUGGGCAUAGAUGUAAUUCUAGGUAUGAAUUGGAUGAGUGGUAACGGAGUUCUUAUCGACACCAGCACCCGCGUAGUGAUGUUGAGAGACCCCAGUACCAAGGAGGCGUUCUUAGAGCAACUUCCUCGAGAUAUCCAUAUCCGUAGCACUAUGAAUGCAGUUACAGCUAAGGCCAUCCAGGAUAUUCCGGUGGUGUGUGAGUUCCCGGAUGUGUUUCCUGAUGAUUUACCCGGGCUUCCUCCAGAUCGGGAUGUGGAGUUCAAAAUUGAAUUGAUUCCAGGUACCGCUCCUAUCUCUAGAAGGCUGUAUAGAAUGCCACCAAAUGAGCUAGCUGAGCUUAAAACCCAACUAAAUGAGUUGUUGAAGAAGGGUCUUAUCCGUCCUAGUUCUUCUCCUUGGGGUUGUCCGGCUAUCUUUGUGAAGAAGAAGGAUCAAUCCUUGCGCAUGUGUGUGGACUAUCGUCCCCUAAAUGCGGUAACCAUCAAGAACAAAUACCCUCUUCCUCGCAUUGAUAUCUUGUUUGAUCAAAUGUCUAAAGCUAAGGUAUUCUCCAAGAUUGAUUUGCGAUCUGGGUAUCAUCAGAUCAAGAUCCGUCCUGAAGAUGUACCUAAGACAGCUUUCUCGACGAGGUAUGGGUUGUAUGAGUAUCUCGUCGUGUCCUUCGGUCUUACCAAUGCACCUGCUCACUUCAUGUAUCUCAUGAAUUCGGUGUUCAUGCCUGAAUUGGAAAAGUUUGUGGUGGUCUUCAUUGAUGAUAUCUUGGUAUAUUCCUGCAAUGAAGAGGAGCAUGCAGAGCAUCUGCGUAUAGUGUUGUCGCAUUUGCGUGAGCAUCAGCUCUAUGCAAAAUUCAGCAAAUGCGAGUUUUGGCUAAAGAAAGUACCUUUCUUGGGCCAUGUCCUAUCUGAAGAAGGCAUAUCGGUAGAUCCAGCCAAGGUGCAAGAAGUGCUGGAUUGGAAAGUUCCAACUUCGGUACACGAGGUUCGGAGUUUUCUUGGUCUGGCUGGAUAUUAUCGUCGAUUCAUUCCCGAAUUCUCAAAAAUAUCCAAGCCUAUGACUCGGCCGCUUCAGAAAGAUGAGAAGUUUGUGUGGACGCCUGAAUGUGAAGAGGCAUUCCACAAGUUGAGGACAUUGCUGACAUCAGCUCCUGUCCUAGCUCAGCCUGAUAUCGAGAAGCCUUUCGAUGUCUUCUGCGACGCGUCGGGUAUUGGUUUAGGCUGUGUGUUGAUGCAAGAAGGUCGCGUUAUCGCGUAUGCCUCACGCCAACUUUGAAAACAUGAGGUCAAUUACCCAACUCAUGACUUAGAAUUGGCGGCAGUUGUUCAUGCUUUGAAAAUCUGGAGGCAUUAUUUGCUGGGUAACCUUUGCAAUAUCUACACCGAUCAUAAGAGCCUCAAGUAUAUCUUCACUCAACCUGAAUUGAACAUGCGACAGCAAAGAUGGCUUGAGUUGAUUAAAGAUUAUAAUCUACAAGUGCACUAUCAUCCGGGCAAGGCGAACGUGGUGGCGGAUGCCUUGAGUCGGAAAGCGCACUGUCACUCAAUCCAAGUGGAAGAUCCGUUGUUAUCACAUCUUAUGCAUCCACUUGUGCUCAACCAGAUUUCUCGGAGAGUACUCUUCGCAAUCGAGUUAUCGAAUUGCAGCGAACAGAUGUGGGCAUCUAUCAUAUAAAGAGGAAAAUGAAAGAAGAAGAAACCAAGCAUUUCCGAGUCGAUGAGAACGGGAUUCUUUGGUUCAAGGAUCGACUUGUGGUCCCUAAAGACCGCGAGCUGCGAAAUUAGAUCUUAUCUGAAGCUCAUUCAUCCAAAUUGUCUAUCCAUCCUGGCAGUAGCAAAAUGUAUCAGGAUUUGAAACCUCUGUUUUGGUGGACAAAGAUGAAAAAGGAGAUUGCUGCUUUUGUCGCUCGUUGUGACAAUUGUUGUCGUGUGAAGGCUGUUCACAUGAAAGCUGGUUUACUUCAACCCUUGUCAAUUCCUGGUUGGAAAUGGGAAGAAGUCAGCAUGGAUUUCAUCGUUGGACUCCCAACUUCUGUUAAGGGUUUUGACUCUAUCUGGGUGAUUGUAGAUCGUUUGACCAAGGUUGCUCGAUUUAUUCCAGUCCGAACUGACUAUCGUCCACAUCAGUAUGCGGUGUUGUACUUCGAGCACAUUGUUCGUCAGUAUGGUGUGCCUCGAACAAUCAUAUCAGAUCGUGGACCAUAGUUCACUGCUCGAUUUUGGGAGUGUCUGCAUGAGCAAAUUGGUACUCAUUUAGUCCGAAGCUCUGCUUAUCAUCCCCAAACAGCGGGUCAAACUGAAAGGGUCAACCAAAUCCUGGAAGACAUGUUGAGGGCAUGUGCUCUCUCUUCAAAGGGUUCUUGGGUUAAGUGGUUGCCGCUAGCCGAAUUCUCCUACAACAAUAGUUAUCAGGAGAGUAUUAAGAUGGCUCCAUUUGAAGCCCUGUACGGUCGAAAGUGUCGAACCCCGUUGAAUUGGGUAGAAGCCGGAGAGCGAAGAUACUACGGUAUCGAUUUCGUGAACGAAGUAGAGCAGAAAAUCCGUACCAUCCAGCAACAUCUGGAAGCUGCUCAAGGUCGUCAGAAAAGUUAUGCUGAUAAGAGGAGGAAGCCGAUUGAAUUUGCAGUCGGUGACCAUGUGUAUAUCAAGGUGUCUCCGAUGAAGGGUGUACAAAGGUUCGGAGUCAAGCGAAAGCUUGCACCUCGUUAUGUGGGACCUUAUUGGAUUCUCGAAAGGAAAGGGAAUGUGGCGUACAAAGUUCAACUCCCAGUUGGGCUUCGGGCUAUUUUUCCUGUCUUCCACGUAUCACAAUUGAAGAACUGUCUUCGUGUACCGGAGGAACGAGUGGAAGUUUGGGAUAUCAAGCUAAAGUCAGACUUGGUGUAUGAAGAAAAACCCGUCGUGGUUCUUGAUCGCAAGGAACGGGAGACUCGUAAUCGUGUGGUUAAGUUCUACAAGGUGUUGUGGAGUAACCACGGGGAGGAAGAUGCCACUUGGGAGACGGAGGAUUAUUUAAAAGAAGUUUACAAAACAUUCUUCGAAAAUCAGUAAGCUUUCAAAUCUCGGGACGAGAUUUUUGUAAGGGCGGAGGGCUGUAACACCCCAGUGUCAUGGUUGCAUAAAUCACAUGCAUAACAUAAGCAUCAUCCUCUACUCAAGCAUGUCUUGAUCAUCAUCUACCUUGAGUCAUGUCAUUCUAUGCAAAAAUGAGAUUUAAAUUGCUUAAAUAGGCUCCCUAUGCUUAUGUUUGAGUGAACCAUGCUUGUGUUUGGGUGCUAUGCCUUGUUAAAUAGUUUAUCUAUGCUUAACUUAACCUUGGGAACAAUGUUCAUGUUGAUCACUUCUCCAAAAUAAUCACUUAAGUCAUACUUAUGUAAAUAGGCCCUAGAAACCUCUUUUGCUUAGGCUUUUAAAACGUGUUUCAUAAAAUGUUUGCAUGUCAAAACUUUCUACAGCAAAGUUGUAGCAAAUUUUAUAAGGAACAAAAGUUGUUUUAUGGCCAUCUCAUGAAAAUGACCACAAAUAGCACAAAAUUGACCCACAAGGCAGAUUUGGGGUUGUUUCCAACACUUAGAAAAUUUUCUAAGUCUAGAAUCACUGCAGUUUGCUCGAGGGGGUGUUGUUCAUCUUCCAGUUUGAAUUCUAGGCCGAAUCAAACUAUGAUCUUGUAAGCAAUGUUGGAGUACUCAUGUAGCUCUCCAGCAUAGAGCAAUUAGCCAGCAAAAUCAUCGAGUGGUUUAGGAGUUAAUCAUCGUGCAAAAUCGAGUUUCAGUCGGGUUUGGGAAUUGAAUGAGGUCGCCGUCAGACAGGGGGAGCUCGCCGGUGACGCCGCGUGUCUGGACCCGUGGCGUCCGUACGUCGCCGUUGGUCCCGCUCGUCAGUCCUCAGCGCGUCCUACAGCUCGCCACGGUGCCCCCGGUCGCGUGGACAGCGUCAUUCCACUCCCGGCUCCGUCCCUCUCGCGUGCGUCGUCGUCUCCGCGUCACCGCCGUUGCUUCAGCGAGCUCGCGCGCGCAUGUCUCCGUGUCUCCGGCCAAGCCACUCCGCCCAGCGCUCCGCCAGCCUCUCCACUUCACCGUCGUCAAGUUGGCUGCGGCUGCCGAGCCUCGGUAAGCCCACAUUGCCUUCUCCGUCGCGAGCUUACCUCGAUGGAGCUCUGCCAUGGCCACCGGCGUCGUGGCCAGGGCUCUGUAGUCCACCAUUCUUCCUCAUUCUUGUCCCAAAAGCUCCGCUAGGUCUUGCUGUUGCUCGUCCGCACUCUCUUCCGCUCUGUCUCCGGCCAGAGACGCCGGCGGUCGGCCGCGCACCACCACCGUGCCGCCAUUCGCGAGGGCGAGGUACCUAGAGUCCAGUAGAGUUAGGGUUUCGGGUACCGCUCGAUGCGGAUUGAUGUGGGGAGCACGAUGGUGCCCUUGGUUGUCGCCGAGACCUCGCCGUCGACGAGAUCUCCGGCGGUCAAGUCGCGCCUCUACUCUCGGGUCGCUGGCAUGUGGGGUCCGUUGACUCGCGGGUCCCCCUGUCAGUCUCUCUUUCUCCUUUGUUUAAUUUAGGGUUUGAGCUGUUUUUGCAAAAAUCAUAUCUCUAGUUCUGGUGAUCCAAAAAUUGUGAAAUCAAUUUUGUGGUAUUCCUUGAGAUGGCUAGUUUUUAAUAAAAAUAUAAAAUGAACCAUGUUUUCUGGGAAAAUAUUUAUUAAAGAUUUAAUCUUGUUAUUCAUAAGUAAAUUCAUAUCUCUUGUUAUACUGCUUAGUUUGCCAUAAAAAUUUUAUGGUAGUCUCUGUGCGGUACUAGAGUGCUUUGAUAAAUAUUUCAUGAUUUUUGGAGUACUGCAGCUUUGUUAUGUAAUUUAUGUUUGAGAUUUGGCUUGUUUCUUUAAUAAAAUCAUAUAAAAUAAUUGGUGUUUAUGCUGGUACUCUACUUUGGUAGUAAACUUGUUUAUGGUAUUCAUAAUAUAUAAAUAAUCUGAAAUCUGUUGUUUGACACAAUAUAAGUCAUGAUUCCCAAUUUAUGAAAUAAACAUCUUGUUACAUGUUAAAUGCAUAUCUUUAAUUUGGUAUGUGCAAUUGCUCUGAAAUUUUUAUGGUGAUGCUUUGAUGCUAUACUUGUGCCUUUGUAAUUUUUGUAGAUUUUUCUGAGCAAUCUUACUAGUAUCUUGUAAUUAUGCUCCUCUCUAUGAUUAAAUUACUAAAUGCCUUGUUAAUAAACAUUUGGAGAUUAUCAUAUGAUGUUCUGGUAACCUUAUGUUAUGCUUGUGCUUAUAAGUCAUGUGGUUGGCACUGUUUGUAUUUCGGUUAUGUCAUCAAAUAAUUAAUUCUAGGGUUAAAGGCUGUUCUGGACAGCAAGGGAGUAAUAUAGUCUUUACUUGUUGUUAACUUGGUUUUCUGGGAGGCUUGUCUAAAUCAAAGUUGUUGUAAACUUUAUGGACUAGCUGUGGUUUAAAUUUGGGGUCAUUUGGCCUAGUAGUUUAAAAUUUAUUGCUGUUCCAAGUUGGGUUCCAGAAAUAGGUGCUCUCUGUUUUUCUGGGACAGAACCUGGAACUUUGUUUAAAUGGCUUCUUUAACUUAUGAAUCUUGCUGUGAUGUUCAAAGAUGAUUUGUAGACAAUUUCAUAAGCUUUCCAGAAUGUCCUCACUCACGUUUGUUGGAUCUGCCUAGCACUAGUUAUGAUAUGUUUACUGAGCUAAACCUGCUAUAUGAUGCUUGCUGUUUUAGGUUAUCAUGAUAGGUUUUGGGCUUAGUUGACUUACUACCUCGUGUGAACUUGUUAUAACUGUGUUACUCUGUAAAUGAGUGUCCAGUGAGUCCAUUAUGUUAUCAAGCAUUCAUCUUUAGCAUGUCCACCUUCUUAUUCAUCGAGCAUGCAAUAGGUGCAUCGGACGCGACCGCCUCCUACGAGCUUCAAGUGAACCCCGAAGGCCAGGAGGGCAACCCGGAGGCGGAGGUCCAGCAAGUCGGACUCGAGGAGCCCGAAGAAGAAGUUGAGUGCCCGAGUCACGAGCCAGCCUCGUUCGUGAAAGGCAAGCCCCGGAGCAUUCUAAGUCUCCCUUUACUUUCGAAAGUUUACUUAAUAUGUUAUAUCUAUUGCUGCAUUAAGUAUAGGAGUUGUGAUGACACCCUUGCUGCAUUUUACUCCAUCCUUGUCCAGAUAACUCACCACACCUUGGUUAUAGGGUUAGGAUCGAGUAGCAGCUUAGCCAUGCUUAAUCGGUAGAAGUCGGGUGAUUUCUUGUCACCUGCGCGAUAUAGGGUUGUGUCGGAUCACGAUGGUCUAUAUGUGCUAUCGUGGAUGGAACCUGGUUAAAAAUGAUUUAAGCCGGGCGGAGUUUUGCAAGGUUGUAGUAACUCCGUCUGUGGCAGCUAAGGACCGACCGUUGUACGUCCUCUUGUCAUGUUGAACGCAUGCCUAACACUUAGUUGGCCGGAUAACUCAUUCCGACCGCGAAGCCGAGUAAUAUGACUCAGGCCGGAAGGUCGAUAAGUAUAAAGUGCGCACUACCGGAGGAAGUGCAGUGUGCGGGGGACCAUUGGCGUAAGCCCAAAGGCAGGUGAGUUAAAAUUCCUGACGUCCCUGGCAGAGUGGUAGCCCUGGGAGUGCGGCGCUUAUCGGAACCGCGAUUCCGGAGUUGUAUCAAAGGUGACCCGUAGGCUCUCCGGCAGGGGAAGCUUGGGUCAGUGAUAGGAAUAACCCUCCAGCUGGAUAGGAAUUCGAUUCGAAUCGCCGUCUCUCCCGGUUAGUGAGAACUUGACAGAGCAGCGGCAAACGUAGCAUUCACUAAAGAACUUGGGUUCAUGAUAAUGAUGAUAGCCAGGAAAAGUACAUGAUGAACUGGAUAUGGUUAUUAUUGUUUGUAAUAAUCAAGUGAAGUGCUUUAGUAUAGGUGCUAAUCUAGUAGUAGGCUGAUGAUGAAUAAAUAUGAUGCUCUCACAAUAAUGUAGUUUAUGCAAGCUUUUGGCAAAUAUGAGUCAACCAGCUCCAUUUGAUGUUAGCCUUGCAUGAUCCUUGGUGUCUUUUAUGUUUUACUAGACGGGUAAGUCUAGCUGAGUACAAUCUCGUACUCAGGGUUUAUUCCCACAUGUUGCAGAUGACAUCUUUUAUGACGGCUUCUGCAAGACCUGUCUCCAUCCCGCUGGGGAUGAGGACUAACCGUUGGGCACGGUUCUCUAACAAUCUCGUACCAGUUGCUUUUGGAAGGAUGAUGUAGACUCUGGCAGUAACUCGAACUUAUGAACUGAACUUUGGAAAGUGUGUGUGUAACUAUUUUGCUUCCGCUACUUCGAACAAGUGUUGUAAUAACUUAAUACUCCGAUGUGGUGCCGCUUCGACGGCAAUGAGUGACUAUGUAACAUUCGCUGUGUUGUGCUGAAUUAUUACGAUCUUGGUUUGUUGCAAGUUGGUUUGAAGUCCUUCGUGAUUUCAAUUGACUACCGGGAUUAUAUGGGCUCAAGUUUGGAAACUUGAUUGCUUGUCGAUCGUUUCUACACUUGAACUCUUAUAAUUUGGUCGGUUCUGUGACAAUCGGUUGAGAGCUUUGAUAAGUAUAGAAAAAAAUAAAAAGAGAGUUGCUAGGUGGUAUGAUAAAAAGGUAAAAGCUAAGGAGUUUGCCGAUGGAGAUUUGGUAUGGAAAUUGAUUUUACCGAUUGGGACUAAAAGUUCGAAGUUUGGAAAAUGGUCUCCUAAUUGGGAGGGUCCUUAUCGGAUAAAUCGAUCUGCUCCUGGUAAUGCUUAUAUUUUGGAGACUCUCGAGGGAGUUGAAUUUCCCAGAGCAUUGAAUGGAAAAUAUCUAAAGAGGUAUUACCCAAGCAUCUGGGUCGAUCCAUAAAACUUUAAGUGCCGAUAACACUCCUAUCGGCUGGAUAAAAUGUAUCUGGGGCUGUGCACAAUGUUUCAAAAGGUGCCGAUAAUAGUCCUAUCGGCUAGACUGGAAUGAUUAGAGGUCUCUAAGGGCGGGACGAAGCAAGCCGCCGAUGAGGAUCUUACAGAUUCAACAAAGCUUGAAUGGCCGAUAUGGCGCGUAGGCGAAUCUGGUUAGCUUCUUCUAUCUCCCGGAUGUCUUCAUCGACAGAACCCUCAACCGGCUUCAGCUUCUUCUUCAUCUGCAGCGCCUUACGGGCCUGGAUGUUAUGUUCUUGUUGGAGGGUUUUGAUCAUCUCAGGCAGCUGGCUUUCUUCUUGCUGAGCUUGAGUUAAGGCUUCCCCCACUUGUUUGAGCUCGGCCAGUAGAGUUCCCCUUCUUGCCGAUAGAUCAGAAAUCUUUUGUUUCAGCGUCUCCUCUGAAGACUGUAGAAUGCCGAUGCUCUUAUGUUUCUCAUUGGCAAGGCACUUUACUUGCAUUACUUCCUCUGUGAGUUGGGCAUGAGCAGCUCUGUCGGCAAGACGCUGGGUGGCCUUCUGGUACUGAAGCUGGCGGCUUUCCAAGUGUGCAGCUUGAAACAAGAUUUCUUCUGCAUCGGUCGGGAUCUGGCCUCGAAGGGACUUGAACAGAGCUUUGGCCGGAUCGGAGUCAUCGACCAAUUGGGCAGUGUCUUGGUGCACUAGGGCCAGCAAGUCUUCCAACUUGGCUGUUAUUUCUGCCGAUGAGAUCCCUACGGCUUGGGAGGAGCUUCCUUCUUCACCUUCGUCAUCAGAAAUAUCAAUAGCAAAGGAAAAUAAGCUAUCUGGGGAGUCUUGUUCCUGAAAAUAAAAUAUGAUAAGUUAUUUGAUGAUCAGAUAUUAGUGAUAUAAAGGAUGGAAAUCAGAUAACUUACUUGCUUUAAAGCUAUUUCACGCCUCUGGCUGGUUGAUGCCAUUGGUACCACAGGUUGAUCGACUGGAGUUGCCGAUGGAACAAUGUCAACUGAGAAAUAACAAGAGUGAUUAUAAUUUGAGAAAAAUAAAUCGAUCAGUAAUAAUUUUGUGGUCGAUACUUUACCUUGAGGGGGUGCAGUGCUUGUCUAUUCUGGAGGAGCAACCGAUGAUAUGACCAGAUCUGCUGGAUCAGCAGAUUGCCCAGGCACAUCGGCUGGUGUUUCUUGUGGCUGAGGUGCUGAUUGAGGAGGGGACGGGACUUGCUGUGUCUGGAUUUCUGGUGAAGAGGGGGACGAUUCCACAUGAAUCGGCGACAUUGGACGAUGAGGGGGAGAUGGUGCUGUCUUCUGACGCUUUGGUUGUGAUUUGGUAUUCUUGGGACCUUUCCUUUUGACUUGGCUGGACUGAGGGGCAUCGUCACCUGUUUGAGCACUUUUGGUUCUUGCCGAUUUGCCAGUCUGCUGAUACAACAACAAAUGUUUCAGAGUACAAAUGUAACAGAAUAUUGAUGAAAUUUUGUUGAACAGUAUAGAAUGGAAUUGGUAUAGAUUGAGGAAGUCAAAAAUCUACCUUGAAAGCUUGUGCAAAGUUAGCAGCGGCAACCAUUGGAGAUGUCUUUGACCGCUAGGUAGUUAUCUUCUUAAAGCGCACAUUCCGGUGCAUUAGAGCUGCCAGGCUUGGUGCGUUGUUGCUGAUGAGAGAAAUUGGACCUGACGGGAGGAGUUCAAUCAGUUGUCCACUUCUGCUGACUGUUGGUGGCAAGUUGUCGACCUGUUUGGAAAAGAGAAAGUGAGUUACCGAUAAGGGUAAAAGUAACAAAAUAAUUGAGGUAUCGGUUGGGAACUUACAGUGUUUUCAGGAACCUUAUACUUGGGGUCGAUCAUGCUGCGGUAUGUCAGAGCCGAUGUGGAGAACUGGUGUUUCUUCCACUCUUCCCACCACUGCUUGUACACCUGAGUGAUGAAAAGGGUGGGCAUCCAUAACGAUAAAUCGAUAUCCGACGUAUCGGCAUUUGGUUGAAGCUGAGCUAUUCUUAUCCACUCAAGACCGCUGGUUAUAGUCUCCCUUGGCUUCACCAUAUCGGCAUAGCAGAGUCCAAUCGGUAGCUGUCCAAAAGCCAGUUAACGAGCCAGUGCCGAUGGGUUAUAGAAUUCAUAGGUGGGGUUGGAAGUCUUCCCACUGCCAAAGAAAUUCACUGGUAUGGUUCUUUAGGUAAUAAUUGCCAUCAUCAGGUCGUGGUCCUUAUUGAGGGCGUCAUCAAAAGGGUGAAAAGUGAGCGGGAAUCUGGUUUCUGGAUCCUCGUAAGGCAUCCAUGCCCGCUGAUCUUUGGCAAGAUCCUCAUAGAGAGUUUGGAAGAAUCGGCUGACCUGGUCUUCGUUGCCACCAGUACCAGGUAACAUUAUGGCAGCCUCACCAUAGUUCAAAGGUGGGCGGGUUGCUGAUUCUUCAUCAGCCAAUUCAUGAUCUUCGGCGAUAUCUCUAGGAAAGCGCUGUGCGAAAAGGUCAAAUCCAAGGCGUUUGUGCAUAUGAACACUAAGCCACACGUUGAUGAACCACCAGGGUCCUCCUAAGUUGCCGAUGGGUUGGCCUAACAAAAGCUUCUCGGCUACUUGAUGAAGGAGAUGAUAAACAGAGCCUAACAAGUAUCGGCCAAGGGGAAAACGACCACCGUCGGCUAGUUUCUCUGCUGCCGAUAGAUAAACAGAAGUUGGUCCUAUUGAUCGGCCGCAAAAUACAAAUUUAUUUAGCCACAUAUUCAGAAAGAUGGCGUGUUCCCUUUGCCCAACUGGUCCUAUUUUUCGGUAUUUCUGAAUGUACCCUGACCAGCCACCGAUGCUACGAGUUUCCACCUUACGUUCAGGCUUACUAUCGAACAUGUGGCUAUCAUCGGCAGUUGCUAUUUCCAGACCAGUGAGCAUAAGCACAUCGGCAAGGGUAGGAGAGGCAAGGCCAUGGCCGAAUACAAAAGCAUUAAGGGUGUCUGACUAGAAGUACGAAGCUGCUAUCAAUAAUGAUUCGUUUCUUUCCAUAUCGGCAAUGGAUAGCCUAAUGCACUGGUCCAGUUUGCACUCACCCCAUUGAACCUCAUUCGAGUUGCCGAUUCUCAGGAACCAAUCUUUCCACCCCUUGGUAGAACUGGGCCUGGAACGAAAAGUGUCUUUCCACAGAUCUAAAGAGAAGUUCGCAGCUCUAAAGGGGAUCCUAUUUGUCUCUGCAUUUAUCAAAUCGAUACGAUCUGGGUUUCCCAAUGGACCAAGGCAUUGGAAGUGGGGUUGAUCGGUGGGAAUAACAAUUUUCUCAGCCAACUCCUAAAGGUUUGAAGGUUGAAAAGACAGGGGAAAGAAAGAAAGAAAAUACCAAGUAAAUAAUUGUGCGAAAGAUCAAGAAUAUGGUAAAAAGAAGAAAGGGGAUGUUGAGUUGACCUUAGGGACGAUGAAGUUGAUGGCCAUUUCUUCCGGAGAGGAGGAAAGGAUCGAAGACUCGGAAGAUUGUUGGAGGAGAUCCUUGCCGGAGUUCUUGAAGUUCUCGAACAGUGCCGCCGCUAGGGAGGUAGGUUUGAGGCUGUAGAAUGACAGGAUGGAAGAAGAGUACUGGAGAAGGAUGUAUUUAUAGGACAAAGAGGGCAGGGGCAAAUCUGACUUAUCUUUUCACCGCAUCCGUGAAAUUCGAGGGUGUUCAGGUGGAUAUGGUAACUAUUCACACGGUAAUCAAUGGAUUGCGUAGGUGAUUUGACAGCAAGCGGUCAUGAUUUUGGAGAUAUCUUACUGUGCAAGAUCUCCUAGUCGGCUCAUCGGCAGUCUUCUCUAACAGAAAUAUUACCGAUGAACGUAUGUUUGGGAGAUUCGGUUCGAGAAGUUGAGAGAUUCGAGGAGCAUGUAGGAGAACCGGGCUAAGGUUGUUUGGAUUUGUUAAUUAAUUACUGACAAAAAGAGGUAAUUGCGGAAAGGCAUCAUUACUGAGGAGAAUUUCGAAGCAUUAAUGAUUCUAUACUCCAAAAUUGGGGGGCAUGUGUUGACACCAUUUUUGGACACGUAUCUUUGGGCGCGUAUCUGGAGUUAAUGAGGUGUAGAUCGGCAGACUGAAAAGUGGUGACUAGUCUACAAAAGAGUUGCCGAUGAGGGUUGGUGCCGAUGAGAAAACGACAGGAUAUGGCCAAGUCCAGGAGUGGUGAUGGAUUCGUGCCGAUGACUGGUGGUGAUGGUUGCCGAUGGCUAUGAGAGGUGGUUUGCCGAUGGUCAUGGAGAAGGGCGCAGGGGUUGUCGAUCGACUCAUGGCGGUGUACCGAUCGGUUGUGGAAGAUGAUUUAAUGCUUUCCAUAGUUAUUAGAGUUUGUUUUGUAUACGGAUUCUGUUUAAUUUAGAAUUCGAGUCCUAGUCGUGUCUGAUUAUAACCCUUUUGGGUAGGGUAUAAAUAUAAGACCCUGUAGCGAUGUAAUAGACGACAAUCAAUCAAACACAAGUUUUUACAUCUAUUCCAGCAUCUACUUUUUCGACGACUUCAUCAAUUUGCAUAUUUUCCUUUUACUACGAGUUCUUUGGAAUUCUUCGAGUCAACCUUGGCGAGUUCUCGAGUUCCGCGUGAAUACCUUUUGGCCGUGACAUCCAAGCUGUUGUCGGGACCAAAGUAUUUGAGUUAUCACCUUUGUCGAUUGUAUGGUCAAAUCGGGUGGCACGACUUAACGUUGAAUCGGGUAUUAGCCCUUUGUGUUUGCAGAUCCACUUUUGCACCAACACCUUGUAUGACUCUCUCUAGUCUCUCUUUUGUGGUAAGCUUGGAUCAUUACCAAGGUAGUAAUGGUGUAUGUCUUCUCUCAAAGUAUGUGGUAUUUUUGGUAUGAGGCAUAGUGGCAUUGCCUUCUCUCUCACCCUACUCUAAUAAGGUUUUGAUAUCUAGAGCUCAUAGGUGGGAGACAGCUAAUACAUACUUACAAGACAUUUAUUGCAUAGUCAAACCAUGGAUCCAGAAGAACAAGUCAAUAAGUCAAAUCAAGAUGUGCAUGUGUGGCGAAUGAAUGGUGAUAAUGGUGAAAAUAAUGGUGAAAGUCUAAUUCUACUUUUGCUCUUUUGAGGGGGCACAUACCUUCCCUGCACUUGAGGAUUUUGAGGGGAAUGAGAUGCUCUAUAUUUUAUUUUUCUUUUCUCUCAGGUGGGUAUCUUGUACCCCUAAUUCUACUAUCGGACACUUGUCCAUUUUUACCCCUCGUCUCACUUUUUCUCUUUUUUUUUCUCGAGGUUUUGGGCACUUGCCCCUUUUUAUUUCCUCAUAUUCACUUUUUAGAGCAUGUAUGAGUGAACGUGCAAGUGAAUCUUGAUUUUAUCCACAUGACAAGCUCCUAAGGGUCUACACAGCUUGACCACACUCAAUGCUCAUAAGCAGUAAAAAGUAAAUGUAUGGUUCAUAGUCUAAUAAGCAUGUAUAUAUGGCUGUGGUAGGAUUUUAAACUCUCAUCAUACAGGAAUUCAUCAUGCAACAUUUUAAAGAUUUUCAAAGAUAAAAUUCUCCAGAAUUCUAGCAUCUCUAGGAACAGAUAAACAGUCGCUCAAUCUUCCCAUAUCAUAUCCGUUAACGACUUAUACUUUAGAUGAAGUACUCUUCCCACAAGUUCAGGUUUAGAGUAAAUCUUAAUUAAUAACAGUCAUGCGUAAACUUGAGAGAGAUUUCAAUUUUGAGAACUAGUCAUGGCAGAGCAACUAUUCAUCAUUUCCUUGUGAGAGCUUAUCAUGAGGGUUCAUAGCAAACUUUAUUUAUUUAUUUAUUUAGCAAACUAAGCAAAGAUAAAUAAAUAAGCACAAAAUCUUUAGUUGGGUUUUUAUGAUUAUGCAUCUUUUUAUUAUUUGAGUAAAGUAUAAACGUGAGUAGAACACUUAGCUGGAUAAAUGGGGGUGCUCUCCCCCAAACUGGAUUUUGGCAUAAUUUCUUCUAAUAUAGCUAGCAGGUGGCGGAGGUGUAUUUGAAUGUUGGCAGCACCCUGACAGCGAUUAGGAUGUCCUCCGUCUGCUAGUCUUCUUUGAUCCUUGAAUUCUGUGGAGCUCAAAUAGACAACAAAGCUUUGUGGAACUGGUUAAGUGUUAGCAUAAAAUCUAUUAACUGUUAUCAUGUUGAACUUCCUCUAAUAAAUAUUACUCUCUUUGGUAGGAUCAUAAAUUUAUUUUUAUAUUUUCAUUUUUAUAGGAUAGGAAUAUAUUUAUUUUAUUUUUAUGCCACCACAGUGAAUGUAGUUAUGGGUUUUAUGCCAUGAGCAUAUUCACAUGGGGCUUACUUUUUUUAGCAGUUUUAUUUUCUUUUCAAGAUAGCAUGAUUAACUAACAAGCCAUUUAAGGAAAGUAAAUAAUUUAAGGGAAAAGGGAAUGCUGAAAGGAUAAAAAUGGAUAACUACCGAUUUUACCUUUCGGCGAGGGUUCAAUGUUUUAAGUCUUCUGAACACGACUUCUCACCGUGUUCAUUCUUUAGGUGCGUCAUUUGAUUUAGGUGUGGACCUUGACGUCUGCACCUCUUGAUACGGUGUCACCCAUGUUCUUCGUUUGCCCAGCAGUUCAAAGUGCGGCGUUGACAGCAUCCUUCUCAGUAUGUUUGUACUCGUAAAUCCAGGUCCUUCACUUGGUGGAGUCUGGGAGUUGUAAAACUCCUCCAUAUUUUGCUCGAAGUGUACCUGCUCAUAGAGACAAGGCAGAGAUCAAGUGCAUGGGCCCUGUUGGUGGAAAGCACCAACAGAACCAAAAGUGUAUUUGUUCUUCUCUAACCUUAAGCAUAGUGAGCAAGACAAAGUUAAUGGAUAAUAAGAUCAUGAGUGUAGCAUUUAAAACAUUUGUCAGAUCAGAUCGCUCAACCUAAUGGAAAGAUAAUCUAUCUAUAUUUAUGUUGUGUUUUUUUAUAUAUCUUCCAAAGAUUGAGUGUGCAACAUUUUAGCUCAUAUGAUUAGGAGUGUGGGAUCAAAACGGUGG